Molecule: regulatory RNA element, 93 nt
Rfam family: TPP riboswitch aptamer (THI element)
About the family: Vitamin B(1) in its active form thiamin pyrophosphate (TPP) is an essential coenzyme that is synthesised by coupling of pyrimidine and thiazole moieties in bacteria. The previously detected thiamin-regulatory element, thi box was extended, resulting in a new, highly conserved RNA secondary structure, the THI element, which is widely distributed in eubacteria and also occurs in some archaea. Analysis of operon structures identified a large number of new candidate thiamin-regulated genes, mostly transporters, in various prokaryotic organisms.
Source: Rfam
ACAUUUAAGUCGGGGUGCUGCCAAAAGCGGCUGAGAAAUACCCGUGAACCUGAUACAGUUAAUACUGGCGUAGGAAACUUAUGAAUAUCAUCU